Molecule: non-coding RNA, 499 nt
Organism: Megalopta genalis
Lineage: Eukaryota; Metazoa; Arthropoda; Insecta; Hymenoptera; Halictidae
Source: RefSeq, a predicted model, not a curated record
ACCUGUCCAUUGGUCAUAUCAACAGGUGAGAAAUGGUCGACAUGAAAAUAUCCGAGUGGACGUCUGCAGAAAGAAGAAACCUCUUUGUGGCGAGUGACAUGUAGCAUUGCGGAUAAAUCUACAUUGUGGAUACGACUGAACCAGCAACUCCCAUGAAUUUUAUUGCUGCACCGUAUGGGGCCCCUGUUUUGUAUAGCAGACUUUAUUGUGUCAAUACUCGUGUCUGUAAUAAAUAUACCGGGAGUAUCACUACCAGCGGGACGCAUUUAUGGCCGGAUAAAACCAGACACGGAUAUCACCGAUUGAAAAACCUCCAUCUUGCAACUUUUUUUUUAGCAAACAUGAAUUUAACGUAAAAAUUGCUUAAACUGCUUAAGCUGUGAGUUAUUAUAAAAAAUUGUUAUUAUGAAUAGUCUGCGGAUUUUUCGCUUGUUUGAAAAGAAACGAGUGAGUAAAAUAUAAAACAGGGGAGAAAUUUCGAAGAUACAAAAGCAGAUAA